GUGGCUCAGUUGUGAGGUGCCCCAAGGGCUUUCCUUUUUUAAUGGAAGUACACACUUCUUUGGAGGGAGCUAUUAACAUUACAUACUCCCCUCUUCUUU
This is a long non-coding RNA of Lontra canadensis (Northern American river otter), 99 nucleotides long. RefSeq lists it as uncharacterized. The record is from RefSeq and is a predicted model, not a curated record. Lineage: Eukaryota; Metazoa; Chordata; Mammalia; Carnivora; Mustelidae. The transcript has 3 exons.